GGGUGCACAGCUCAGUGGUAAGAGCGCAUGCUUAGCAAUCACGAGGUCCUGGGUUCAGUCCCCAGUACUUCCA
This 73-nucleotide transfer RNA is filed under the name Camelus bactrianus (Bactrian camel). It matches the Rfam family "tRNA". Rfam says of the family: Transfer RNA (tRNA) molecules are approximately 80 nucleotides in length. Their secondary structure includes four short double-helical elements and three loops (D, anti-codon, and T loops). Further hydrogen bonds mediate the characteristic L-shaped molecular structure. tRNAs have two regions of fundamental functional importance: the anti-codon, which is responsible for specific mRNA codon recognition, and the 3' end, to which the tRNAs corresponding amino acid is attached (by aminoacyl-tRNA synthetases). tRNAs cope with the degeneracy of the genetic code in two manners: having more than one tRNA (with a specific anti-codon) for a particular amino acid; and 'wobble' base-pairing, i.e. permitting non-standard base-pairing at the 3rd anti-codon position. Lineage: Eukaryota; Metazoa; Chordata; Mammalia; Artiodactyla; Camelidae. RNAcentral also lists the same sequence under 1 other name. The record is from Rfam by way of RNAcentral.